UACGAAGGUCCCGAGCGUUAUCCGGAUUCAUUGGGUUUAAAGGGUGCGUAGGUGGAAUUAUAAGUCAGUGGUGAAAUCUUGCAGCUUAACUGUAAAACUGCCAUUGAUACUGUAGUUCUUGAGUAUAGUUGAUGUGGGCGGAAUAUGUCAUGUAGCGGUGAAAUGCUUAGAUAUGACAUAGAACACCGAUUGCGAAGGCAGCUCACAAAGCUACAACUGACACUGAGGCACGAAAGCGUGGGGAUCAAACAGGAUUAGAUACCCUGGUAGUCCACGCCCUAAACGAUGAUCACUCGCUGUUGGCGAUACACAGUCAGCGGCUAAGCGAAAGCGUUAAGUGAUCCACCUGGGGAGUACGACCGCAAGGUUGAA
This 372-nucleotide ribosomal RNA is filed under the name uncultured bacterium. RNAcentral describes it as "bacterial SSU rRNA". It matches the Rfam family "Bacterial small subunit ribosomal RNA", at positions 524 to 898 of the family's 1533-position model. The record is from RNAcentral.